GAACUAACAGAUUUACUUCGGUAAUGACGUUAGGAAAGCGAGCGGCGGAUGGGUGAGUAACACGUGGGGAACCUGCCCCAUAGUCUGGGAUACCACUUGGAAACAGGUGCUAAUACCGGAUAAGAAAGCAGAUCGCAUGAUCAGCUUUUAAAAGGCGGCGUAAGCUGUCGCUAUGGGAUGGCCCCGCGGUGCAUUAGCUAGUUGGUAAGGUAAAGGCUUACCAAGGCGAUGAUGCAUAGCCGAGUUGAGAGACUGAUCGGCCACAUUGGGACUGAGACACGGCCCAAACUCCUACGGGAGGCAGCAGUAGGGAAUCUUCCACAAUGGACGCAAGUCUGAUGGAGCAACGCCGCGUGAGUGAAGAAGGUUUUCGGAUCGUAAAGCUCUGUUGUUGGUGAAGAAGGAUAGAGGUAGUAACUGGCCUUUAUUUGACGGUAAUCAACCAGAAAGUCACGGCUAACUACGUGCCAGCAGCCGCGGUAAUACGUAGGUGGCAAGCGUUGUCCGGAUUUAUUGGGCGUAAAGCGAGCGCAGGCGGAAGAAUAAGUCUGAUGUGAAAGCCCUCGGCUUAACCGAGGAACUGCAUCGGAAACUGUUUUUCUUGAGUGCAGAAGAGGAGAGUGGAACUCCAUGUGUAGCGGUGGAAUGCGUAGAUAUAUGGAAGAACACCAGUGGCGAAGGCGGCUC
This 687-nucleotide ribosomal RNA is filed under the name uncultured Bacilli bacterium. RNAcentral describes it as "bacterial SSU rRNA". It matches the Rfam family "Bacterial small subunit ribosomal RNA", at positions 64 to 727 of the family's 1533-position model. The record is from RNAcentral. Lineage: Bacteria; Bacillati; Bacillota; Bacilli.